CCAAUAGCGUAUAUUAAAGUUGUUGCAUUUAAAAAGCUCGUAGUUGAAUUUUAGGCCUGGCCAGGCGGUCCGUCUUUGGCGAGUACUGUCUUGUUGUCGGGUCUUCCUUCUGGUGAACCAGUAUGUCCUUUAUUGGGUGUGUUGGGGAGCCAGGACCAUUACCUUGAAAAAAUUAGAGUGUUUAAAGCGGGCUAUUGCUUGAAUAGAUUAGCAUGGAAUAAUAGAAUAGGACGUUGUGGUUCUAUUUUGUUGGUUUCUAGGACCACCGUAAUGAUUAAUAGGGAUAGUUGGGGGCAUUAGUAUUCAAUUGUCAGAGGUGAAAUUCUUGGAUUUAUUGAAGACUAACUAUUGCGAAAGCAUUUGCCAAGGAUGUUUUCAUUAAUCAAGAACGAAAGUUAGGGGAUCGAAGACGAUCAGAUACCGUCGUAGUCUUAACCAUAAACUAUGCCGACUAGGAAUCGGGCGACGUUAUUUUAAUGACUCGCUCGGCGCCUUAUG
Molecule: ribosomal RNA, 498 nt
Filed under: uncultured Glomeromycotina
Lineage: Eukaryota; Fungi; Glomeromycota
Description: partial small subunit ribosomal RNA
Rfam family: Eukaryotic small subunit ribosomal RNA
Source: RNAcentral